CCAGGGAGGCAGCCCUCAGGACUGCGGAGGAACAGGGAUCCGGGUCCACGGAACCGGGCGUUUACGGAACCCCGACGAAAGCUAACGGGGGGAAAACGGGGCGGGAGACCCGGAGCGAGCGGGCAGACGGUCAGGAGAGGGCGACUAGCCACACGGGACGACUGAGACGAAAGAGCAGAAGGCUGCAGGAGACGGAGGCGGCAGGGAGGCAGUGGUGAACUGUGUGGAAUUGCUGAUGCUGAAGGUGAAACCAGAAUAUGAGAAUGCUCUAGGCUUGUUUGCAGUGCAGUGAAAAUGGAAGAAUAAGAGAUUCUCCGUGUCAACACAUCACCUGUUCAUGCCUCGCCCAAGGCUGUGUGGUUCUCCUUUAAAAAUUUCAAUGUGGACAAAACUGUUUUCUCUUGGCAUAACUGAGAUGAGCCGGUAUUUUCAAGAACAGCUUUACUAAACAUGAGGGAAAACAGAAAAGAAAUAAUUACAGAAAACAUACACAGUAUAAAAAUAGCCAAGUUUCCAACUGCAGGUUUCUGUUUCUAAAAAUUCCAUUAGAAGUAGGAAAGCUUUACUCGGCCUCAAGCUCAUUUACGCUUAGUCAACCACAUCCCUUAAUUUUGCUGUAUCCUGUCUGGACUCCUUCUCUUCCACCUCCAACACCUCCUCUUUCCCUGACCCCUGUAAUUUUGAGCUGCUUUCUUGAUUUUUUGAACCCAAAUCUCAAAGAAAAAAUAGUCAACAGCUUACUUUUAAAAUUGUCAUUCUCCAACAAAAAUAUCCUGGACUCCCAAAAACCUCCCAAAAUGCCUGCUUACAAGAGAUUCUCAAGUUUUGAUGAUAAAGACCCACUGGGGCUCAAACAUUAGCUCUUCUCAAUACUGGUGUUAAACCAGCAUAAACUAAAGUUUAUUCUAGGAAAUGAUCCCUGGGAUAAUGAUUAUUCUUUACAAUGGCAGGUAGGGUUCUGUGGUCAAAUAAAUUUGAAGAAUGUUGGGUUAAACUAAGUUUUGCAGUUUUCUCCACUGCAUAAGUUCUCAAAUCAUUUUGUGCAGUCAACAAAUAUUUAUUGAGUACCUAUUAUGUGGCAGGCACUGCUCUAGGUACUGAGAAAACCCUGGUGAAGAGUGAACGGGACAGAUAAGGUCCCUGCCCUGCCUUCAUAGUAUUUACUUUUUAGGUGGGAUUCAUCAAAAAAAGUGAACAAACAAAUAAGAUUUCAAAUAAUAGUGUGGACUGUGAAGACCUUAAGGGGUGAUGUUAUAGGGGAAAACUAGAAGUAGGGAAACCCAGAAGACAGAGGGAACAGUGAGUCCACAGACUUGGCAGUUAAAAGCUUGGUGUGUUGGAAGAAGAGAAAAGAGGUUCUGAGGUUGGAGCUGAGAAACUGAGGGGGAAGUGCAUGUGAAGAGGUAUCUUAGAGGCCAUGGUAAGAAGUAAGAUUUGAUUUUUGGUGCAAUGGAAGGAAUUUCAAGGGUUUAAAUCUUGGCACCACCUAAUUUACAAUUUGAAAAAAAAUCUCCAUGGCUAUUAUGUAGGAAAUAGAAUUUAGAGGCCAAGAUUACAAGUGGAAACCAGUUGGGAGGCUCUUGCAGUAGUUCGUCUAAGAGAUGAUGAUGAGGUUGUCAGGGCGGAUAGGAUGUGGGUGGCUUCAGCAUGUUUGCUGGAGUUGAGACAACAGGGCUUCCUGAUGGGUUUAACCUUGAAAACAGGGACCAGAGAGAAGACAGUGAUGACUUCUAGCUUUUGGGCUUGAGCAAUCAAUUAGAUUAUUGACUGAGGUGGGAAAGACUAGGGAAGCAAAGGCUUAAAGGGGUGAGGGAAAUCAAGAGAUUAUUUUAGCUACAUUAAGUUCAAGAUACAUAUUACACAUGUAAGACAUGCUAUCAAGUAGACAGAUCUUUUGUAUCUUUAUAUCUAUCAGUCUAGAGCUUAGGAGAAAUGUUGGAGAUAUAAAUUAGGAAAUCAUUAGCAUGCAGAUGGCAUUUAAAGUCCUGGAACUGGAUGAGAUCACCUAGGGAGUGUACAGAGGGUUAAGGCCCAAAGCCAAACCCUGAAGCACUUCAAAUUUAGAAAUCUGGUACAGAAGAGGAGCCAGCAGAGAAGACUUUAACAAGUUCAUGUGCAUUAAUGACUCCAAGAGAGGCAAUACAGAAGGAAGCGUUUCCCAAACUUAUUUGACCUUGGAACCUUUUGUCACAUGGCAUCUCACAGGGCUGGGAUUCCAAGGAGAACAUUUUGGGAAAUACUGUUCAUACCCUUGAGCUGCGCUCCAUUGUGGCAUAAUAUAUUAACUUCUAAGGUGACGUAGGCAACUCUUCUCCCUCUAAGCAGAGAGGUGUUUCAGUAAAAGCCCAUCAGUUGCUAAACAAAACACUGCCCUGAUGAUCCAGGCCAAAAAAAUGUACCUGCAGGAAGCACAGAUGUGUCAAAUGCAGUAACAAGGAAACAAGGACUGUUCCACCAGUGCCUCACUGAGCGAAACCUCACAUGCUGGUAGUUCGUAGCCUUUUUACAUUAAUAAUAGUUAUUUUGGUGGAAAACUGAGAUUGAAAGUCUGAGGAGAGGCCCCAGGAGUAAAUGAUGUGUUUUUAUGGUGAAUUAUAUAACUUUUUUCAAGAUACUAGCAUUUGAGUGUUUCUACCUAUAUACACUAUAGGAGAGUAUCACUUGAUGCUCUGGAAAGAGUUAAUUUAGAUAAAAAUAUUUUUCUAUAUUUUCUAAUUCGUUAGGUGUUUUUGUUUUUGUUAUUGUUAUAAGGAACAGAAACUCACUCAGGUAUAUUCUUGAGAUCUGAGGCAGUCCUAAGGGUGAAUUUCUCUCUAGGAUGUAUUUUUUCCUCUCCUUCUUUCUCCCUUUCUCUCUCUCUCUCUCUCUCUCUCUCUCUCUCUCACACACACACACACACUCCACACACCUGGGCUCAGAGGCUGUAUGGUCUUUCUCUCGUAGUAUCUCUGAGACCGCUCACUUUUCUAGUAAUGCACUAGGAAAUCAUAAUCAAAUCCUCUACAUUUGCAUACCACAAUCUAAGUGGACCACAAUGUUAUGGACUGAGUGUUUGUGUCCCUGUAAAAUUCAUAUGUUGAAAUCCUAACCCC
Equus caballus (horse) is the source of this 3092-nucleotide non-coding RNA. The record is from RefSeq and is a predicted model, not a curated record. Lineage: Eukaryota; Metazoa; Chordata; Mammalia; Perissodactyla; Equidae.